Molecule: long non-coding RNA, 2217 nt
Organism: Solea senegalensis (Senegalese sole)
Lineage: Eukaryota; Metazoa; Chordata; Actinopteri; Pleuronectiformes; Soleidae
Exons: 5
Source: RefSeq, a predicted model, not a curated record
CACGACUUCCGGCUCGUCCUGAGUGAGAAAAGCUAACGCGAUAUCACUUUUUCCUCGACAGGUCCAUUGCAGAGUUUGAGUGUUUCCAUAACCACGUCCUGAUGUUUGCUAGGAAGCGUUUUAGCUUCAGUCCUGCGGUGAAUGAAGCUGGAAUUGUACUGACUACAAUGACCACAGAAGGUGUGAUGGAUCCACAGAAGGAGAAGGAUGUCUUCAGGACGUGGACUGAGAGCAGACGACCCACGUCACCUCAGAGUUCACCUCCAUCCACCUCAGAGCUCCUGGAGACACGAGUCAGCAGAGAGACCUACUCAACAUGGAGAAUCAUUACAGCGUCAGAGGCACAGACGUGGUCAGGGACAGAAGGCUGAGGUCCAGGCUGAGGUCCAGGCUGAGGUCCAGGCUGAGGUCCAGGCUGAGGUCCAGGGCUCACAAUUCAGUCCUGAAACAAACACUGAAGAAUCAAUCUGGCAAAGGAGUGAGUGUGUGAGGAGCUGGCGUUUAUAAGGAGGGCUGAUUGCAGGAGAUGAGGAGCAGCUGUAAUCACAGACAAGGCCCAGUUUAUGUCUUCAUCUCCCAGGACAAAUUAAGUCCCACCUGACCCAAAGCUCUAGAUACGAGGAUCUGAGACAGACAGGUUUGUGAGCGUGUGUGUGUGUGUGUGUCUGUGUGUGUUAAAUAGCAGGGUUCAUAGACCAUUGGUCCUCAGUUGACUCUUGGCUUGAACCUGUUCUGGAAAUUCAUCACUGACCUCACUGUUAACGUGAGAUGGACAGAGAAAUAACGUCUUACAUUUAACAUAAGACAAGGACACACUAUUAUCACUGCUUAUACAUGCUGUUGCCGUGUCGACAUAAUAAGAAGCAAGCACUGCAGCAGCGCUUUAAUUUUAUAUUCAAAAGUAAUAGUAUGAAAGCUGCUUGCAAAGCACUUUCCUGCUUUAAACUGCAAUGAACAAUAGUAGUAGUGGGUAGUUUUUGAAUUAAGGGCACAAUUAUGUUAUGUAGAGUGCCAUAAAAAUGGGCCACAGAGCUUCAUGUUUUAAUAAGAAGCAGAAGACUGCAAACAGUGUGUUGUGGUUUAUGUUAUUAGUAAAGACUGGGGUUACUGUGAACCUCAUAACUUUCAUUUUAAAAUUUAAAGUAUGUAAUGAAUGUAACUGCCCAACAGUCAAGAUGGUGCACACAGGUUCCAUAACACGUUUGUGUCCAGUAUAAUUAUCAAAACUGUGUCUAAGCACAGUCUUUAUAACCCUAACCCUAUGCAUUAGUCUCCUAAAGAUGGAAACUCAAAUCUGUGACAAAUCCAAUUAUAAAUAUAUAUAUAUAUAUUUAUGAAACUUGUGUAAAAAACACACUAAAGUUGGGACAGUCUGCAAUAUCAGUUAUAUAAUGCUGUUCUGAAAGGUUCACUGCUAACAGGUGAGGAUAUGGAAAUUGUGUAGAAAUAAGCAUCCACCAAAGAUUUAGCCUUUGCAAGCAGGGACGGGUCUAAGACACCAAGUUCUGUCUGUCACCAUGUACAAUUCACAAUAUUGUGAGAAGGUUCAGGAAGUCAGGGGAAAUGUUGGUGCGUAGAGGCUCCAAGGAUGAAAACUGCGACAGAAUAUUUGUGAACAUCAAAACCUCAGGUGGUAUUAUGAUGUGAGAAAUAUGAUAAGAUAUGAGAAAAAGCUCCUGUGAUGGACAUAGCCAAAUGGUCUUGGGAAUCAUUGACACUUAUCACACCUGAAACUGUAUUAACCAGAGCCAAAGCCAUCCCUCACAGCAAUGCUGUCAAGUUCUCAUGUGAGAUGGAAUCAAAGACAGUGGAAACAUUCCAGCUCGAUUUGAGAUGCAGAGGAUUAUACUGCAGCGACGGAGGCUCCUUUCACAACUUUUACCAGAAACUCCAACACUGGCAAUUUCAACAGGACAAUGUCAGACUAUAGUCCCUAAAUGUUAUCAGUGCUAAGCAGUGCAUCAGAAAUGCACAACAGCACAUAACAUAAUUUCAUAACAUAUUUUGUUUUUCUUCUUUGUCUCAAGGGUGGUUGUACUUGGUCACAUGACCAUUAUUUCAUACAACAUGGUGAAAAGCAGCUUGAAUUUAAAAAUACUGUUAAAUUUUGAUUAAACAGUAUUAUGAUUCUGUUGCCUGUUUAGUUACUUGUUCAUCUCUAUGUUUUAUGGAGCAAUUCUCAUGCAGAACCUAAACAUGUUAAAAAUGCAUGAAAAG